Molecule: long non-coding RNA, 1741 nt
Filed under: Monodelphis domestica (gray short-tailed opossum)
Lineage: Eukaryota; Metazoa; Chordata; Mammalia; Didelphimorphia; Didelphidae
Description: lncRNA (ENSMODG00000040824.1)
Source: RNAcentral
AGGGAAAGGCGACGGCGGCUGCUCACCCAGCCGAGGAAGAUAGGAGGGAGGAGCAGAAGGGAGGAGGAGGUAGAGGAGGAGGAGGGAGGGGACUCUCACAGGCGGUGGCGGCGGCAGCGGCGAGCGGAGGGGCCCGGCGGAGCUAACGGAUCUGGGGCGCAGGCGGCUGUUGCUGCUGCUGCUGCUGCUGCUGUUCCUGUUGGGGCCAGGGCAGCUACUGCAGCCACGACCACGGCUACGGUUACAGCCGGGAGGUAACAACGGCUGCCUGCACCAGCACCCCUAGCAUCUGAAGAAGGAGGAGGACGCGGCGGCGGCGGCCACGGCGGGGAUGGCACCCAGCCGCUGGUUUCUCCUCCCACCCCAUCCCCCAGGCCUCGGCGCUCCCCCGUCCCUCUCCUGGAACCUAGUUCUCACUUCUCUGGCCUACAAGUAAGUCCGCUAGCGCGUCCUUUAUGUGCCCAAGCUUGCCUUUCGGUUCCUGUUCUGGCUCUUCUCCCGACUCCCCAGCCUGCCUCUCUCCCAGGCUCCGAGCUGAAAAGGAGGGGAGGAAGAGCCCAGGGGAGCCCUUGGCAGCUUUUUGUCCUGGCCCUUUUCCCCACUACGGUCUGGUCUGUGUGGAAGUGGCCUCCCAGAGUAGUUCUUAGUGAGGGGGGGGUUCACUCCUCCGGUGCCCGGACCCUGCUGCAGGGAGCUCAUUCCACCCCCUCCCCCUUCCAGGUGGGAUGGGAGGGUCCCUAGAGGCCGGGGGCCUGGGGGGAACCCCUCAUCUGGAAGCGAUCAGGCCGUGGCACCCGGAGGAGGGCCAGGUGGCUCUGGGGGGAGCCUAGCCUCCUGGGGCUGACUGGCCCACUUCUGGAGGGAUGCUUGCAAAAUGCUUGGAGCUCCGGAGCUGUAGGCGGUGAUCUCUGUUCUGGCAGCCGUUUUAGAGCUGAAGAAGCAGGUUGAGGCCCCCAGAAGUCCCUCCAACCUGGGCUGAAGCACGCCUGAGCCCCAGGUCUGCCGGGUGGACUGCGGGGCAUUUCCUUUCAAGUGCACGUGAUGGGGUUCAGUCCUGAACCCCAGCAGAGGUGGUUUGGACUUUGUUUCGGUCUUCUUUCCUUUUGUUUUGCCGCUCUGAGCCUGCGAAAGUCCUCUAGCCUGUGCCCGCUCUCCCUAGCAGUCAUUCCCGUCCCUCGCCCAGUGUCCCGGGAGGGGCCUGGCCGGCUCUCCGAGGCACUGGGGAGUUGGGCUGCGUCCUGAGCAGACCAGAGGGGCCCCUCUCCCUCCAUGGCAAAAGCUACACUCCUGUAACCCGAGAGUGAAGGGAGUCAACGGUUGGGGACCGGGUGUCACAUGCAUGUUUCCUUUGCAGAGAAACCCUCCUCUGGCCUUAGGUGUGCGAAUGCAUGAGUGGAUGUCUUUUCAGGGGGGGCAGGCUUAGCCUCAGCCCAGUCCCCAAGGCCGCCUGGCUCACUAGUCCCCCAAAGUAAGCACACGCAGACACACAGCCUGUCCCUUUGGCCAGAGACCGAGGGCUUCUCAACAGGAACAGGCAGCCUUCGCCUGAAGCUGCCGAUGCCUUAUUGAUCUUAGCAGUGGGGGACUGACCUCGGGUUCCCUUUUGCUCGGUUUCCAACAAGAGAAAAUUGGGGGCUAAUAAGAUCAGGGGGGCUAAGGCUUGGGGGAGGAUCCAGGCAGAAAGCAGAGAAGCAGAUCCUUUCUCAGAGUUCCUCAUGAUGGCAGAUGAGGAGCCAGUUCU